Molecule: long non-coding RNA, 737 nt
Filed under: Manihot esculenta (cassava)
Lineage: Eukaryota; Viridiplantae; Streptophyta; Magnoliopsida; Malpighiales; Euphorbiaceae
Description: long non-coding RNA (MESC_LNC006406)
Source: RNAcentral
GGUGUUUCUAGGAGGUUUUUGGGGGUAUGUUUAGAGUUAUGUUCUUGUUGUUUGGUGCCUCAUUUGAGUCCACCUGUGUAGGUUCGGACCCGAGGACCCGAGACCCCCGGUUGUGAGAUAGUCUUUCAGAGUCCGUCGUUAAAGCUUCGGUCACCAGGUGAGUGGGAUUUUUUCCCUAAGUUUUUAAGUAAUGAAUAAAUGAACAAAUGAAUGAAUCUGAUAGCAUACUCAUGCAUCAUUAAUGCCAUGCGAUGUUUCAGGAUGUUUGCAUUAGAAAUUCACGAAUAUGUUGCAUUGCAUAUUUUGAUGUUGAUGUAGAUGGUUAUUGGGUGAUCCAUAGUCCUCUAAUGUUAUGUUAUGAUGAUAUGUUAUGGAAGACCAGUGAGGCCCAUUCUACGCCCCUGGCACUAUGUAAGAGAAAGACCAGUGAGGCCCAUUCUACGCCCCUGACACUUUGGAAUGUUAUGUUACGUAUGUUAUGUAAGAGAAAGACCAGCGAGGCCCAUUCUACGCCCCUGGCACUUGGAGAUGUGAGGACUAAUGGUGACAAUACCAUCCUUUAUGUGAUUAAAUGUGAUGUGUUGCAUUUCAUGAAAGCAUGUAAAGUAAAAAGUUAUGUUAUUUAAUGUUAUUAAUAAAAUGAAUAAUAAUAUACCUAAAAAGUGUGGAAUUAAAGCAAAUGUUAAUAAUAAAAUGAAGAAUAAAAUACCUAAAAAUGGAGGAAUUAAUAUCAUGUU